Molecule: non-coding RNA, 125 nt
Organism: Triticum aestivum (bread wheat)
Lineage: Eukaryota; Viridiplantae; Streptophyta; Magnoliopsida; Poales; Poaceae
Source: Rfam
GAUGUACUUCCUUCGUCCAGGAAUACUUGUCGGAGAAAUGGAUGUAUCUAGGCGUAUUUUAGUUUUAGAUAGAUUCAUUUUUAUUCAUUUCUCCGACAAGUAUUUUCAGACGGAGGAAGUACAAA